Molecule: transfer RNA, 63 nt
Filed under: Rattus norvegicus (Norway rat)
Lineage: Eukaryota; Metazoa; Chordata; Mammalia; Rodentia; Muridae
Rfam family: tRNA
About the family: Transfer RNA (tRNA) molecules are approximately 80 nucleotides in length. Their secondary structure includes four short double-helical elements and three loops (D, anti-codon, and T loops).
Source: Rfam by way of RNAcentral
GGGGAUUUAGCUCAGUGGUAGAGCGCUUGCCUAGGAAGCGCAAGGCCCUGGGUUCAGUCCCUA